AUUGAACGCUGGCGGCAUGCCUUACACAUGCAGGUCGAACGGCAGCGCGGGGCAACCUGGCGGCGAGUGGCGAACGGGUGAGUAAUAUAUCGGAACGUACCCUGGAGUGGGGGAUAACGUAGCGAAAGUUACGCUAAUACCGCAUACGAUCUAAGGAUGAAAGUGGGGGAUUCGCAAGAACCUCAUGCUCCUGGAGCGGCCGAUAUCUGAUUAGCUAGUUGGUAGGGUAAAAGCCUACCAAGGCAUCGAUCAGUAGCUNUCUGAGAGGACGACCAGCCACACUGGAACUGAGACACGGUCCAGACUCCUACGGGAGGCAGCAGUGGGGAAUUUUGGACAAUGGGCGCAAGCCUGAUCCAGCAAUGCCGCGUGAGUGAAGAAGGCCUUCGGGUUGUAAAGCUCUUUUGUCAGGGAAGAAACGGGUUUUUCUAAUACAGAGAUCUAAUGACGGUACCUGAAGAAUAAGCACCGGCUAACUACGUGCCAGCAGCCGCGGUAAUACGUAGGGUGCAAGCGUUAAUCGGAAUUACUGGGCGUAAAGCGUGCGCAGGCGGUUUUGUAAGACUGUCGUGAAAUCCCCGGGCUCAACCUGGGAAUGGCGAUGGUGACUGCAAGGCUAGAGUUUGGCAGAGGGGGGUAGAAUUCCACGUGUAGCAGUGAAAUGCGUAGAUAUGUGGAGGAACACCGAUGGCGAAGGCAGCCCCCUGGGUCAAAACUGACGCUCAUGCACGAAAGCGUGGGGAGCAAACAGGAUUAGAUACCCUGGUAGUCCACGCCCUAAACGAUGUCUACUAGUUGUCGGGUUUUAAUUAACUUGGUAACGCAGCUAACGCGUGAAGUAGACCGCCUGGGGAGUACGGUCGCAAGAUUAAAACUCAAAGGAAUUGACGGGGACCCGCACAAGCGGUGGAUGAUGUGGAUUAAUUCGAUGCAACGCGAAAAACCUUACCUACCCUUGACAUGGCAGAAAUCCUCGAGAGAUUGAGGAGUGCUCGAAAGAGAAUCUGCACACAGGUGCUGCAUGGCUGUCGUCAGCUCGUGUCGUGAGAUGUUGGGUUAAGUCCCGCAACGAGCGCAACCCUUGUCAUUAGUUGCUACGAAAGAGCACUCUAAUGAGACUGCCGGUGACAAACCGGAGGAAGGUGGGGAUGACGUCAAGUCCUCAUGGCCCUUAUGGGUAGGGCUUCACACGUCAUAC
RNAcentral lists this ribosomal RNA (1198 nucleotides) under uncultured bacterium. RNAcentral describes it as "bacterial SSU rRNA". It matches the Rfam family "Bacterial small subunit ribosomal RNA", at positions 28 to 1228 of the family's 1533-position model. The record is from RNAcentral.